Long non-coding RNA from Leopardus geoffroyi (Geoffroy's cat), 1705 nucleotides. RefSeq lists it as uncharacterized. NCBI's taxonomy places the organism in Eukaryota, Metazoa, Chordata, Mammalia, Carnivora, Felidae. The transcript has 8 exons. The record is from RefSeq and is a predicted model, not a curated record.
GAUCAUGACCUGAGCCAAAGUUGGAUGCUCAAUUGAUUGAGCCACCCAGUUUCACUCCUUCAGAAUCUUCUCUGUACCCCCAAAGGCUGACAUCUAGGGGUUGCCUCAAGAGAUGACCUGUCCUCUGACUACUGGAUGGAAGUCCAAUAGGAAGCUUCUGCAAUAGGUUAGAGGGCAGGAAGAGAAUGAGAUGGGGUAUUCAUUCCCUGUAUUAGCUAGUCUUCGAAGGUAUCCCCCAACAAUUCCUUCCUUGUAUAUACAUAUCACUCUUGCUAUCAAGAGUUAGAGAUUAUUUCUGUUCUCCUUGAAUCUGUGCUGGCCCAUGACUAGCUUCUACAAAUAGAAUGUAGCAGAAGGGCAAUUCGAGACUUCCAAACUCAGACCAAAGAGAACUGGAAGCUUCUAUUUGCUGCCUCUUGGAAUUUAGCCACCAUGGUAUAAGAAGCCCAGGAUAGAUAGAAGCCCAAGAUAGAUGGAAGAAUCACAAAAAUGAGAAUCAAGCACUCUAGCUAUAUCAGGCACUUAUUGACAGCCAUCUGAGUGAGUCAUUGUGGUAGCUAGUCACCAAUAUGGCACCCAAUGAAGGUUGUUUCCCAAGCUUUGGGAUGGUUUGUUUUGCAAUAAUAGAUAGCCAAAACAGAAAUUGGUACCUAGAGAGUAAUGUGCUGCUGUAACAAAAACCUUAAACAUGUGGCAUUGGCUUUGGGAUAAGGGAUCUCACAGAGGUGAUCAAUGGAGGCCUGUAAGACAGUGAAGAAAUUGUUGAGCCUGGAGCAAAGGAGGUUUAAGCAGAAAUCUUCUCUUUCUCCUGCCUUCUUGCAAAUUCAUCUUAUCUCUGGAAAGAGAAAGUUGGAGAAUCCCAGGUUGGAAUACAGACUGUGAUGAAAGAAUCCGACUGUAUUAUAAGUGUAUGAAUAAAACUUCAAAGAAGGACAUAGAGAGGAAAGGUGCUAUGUAAAGAGCUGGAAAUAAGUGGAGCCUAUAAUACUUAAGUGAAAUGGAAUUAUGAUAACAAAUGGCAUAAGGACAAUACUUUAUGCUGGUAAUUAAAUGGAAGACUACAUAGAAUUCCAUGUUGCUCAGGAAGAUCUGGAUUUAAUAAAAUGGAGGCCUACUGAAGAAGAUUUAGAUAUAUCAGUUAUUAAUUCCCUUAUAUAGAUAUUACUACAUAUGUUUCUACUAGGGUUCUUCUCAUUAGAAGGUACAGAGCUCUAGAGUCAGGACUGUGGGUUUUGAAAUAACCCAUCCUGCAUCCAUAAACAACUUGCCUUGAUGGCUAGCCAAGACUUUGUCCUGCCACAGACCUCCUCCUACUUUCAUUUCUUACCCCAAGGAGCAGUAAACAUGAAUCCUGACCCACUAAUGGAGCCCCAGAACUGAGAAGAGAUACAUUGCUGCUAAACAGGUAGAAAUAAAAACAAUGCCUCUCUUUGAUAAUAUUAAAUGUGCUGGGAAGACAGUCUCCAAGAGAAAGGAUAAAUAAUCUACAUAAUGAAGAAUUAGUUAGCAGUGUUAUGUAAAUAUUGUAGCAGCAUCAAUGAGGAGGAUUAUUUUUGCACCUUUGGAAAGCAACUGAAAAAAGAAGCUUGGAAAAAAUCCUGCCUAACAAAGCAGCCAUACUCAAAUAGCUAAAACUAUAAGAAAGAACUGAUUGAAGAUACAAGAAUAGAUUUAAGAUGUAAGAUUAAAACAUGAUAAAAAAUGA